This 305-nucleotide ribosomal RNA is filed under the name uncultured bacterium. RNAcentral's name for it is "bacterial SSU rRNA". It matches the Rfam family "Bacterial small subunit ribosomal RNA", at positions 335 to 632 of the family's 1533-position model. The record is from RNAcentral.
AUGCCUACGGGGGGCAGCAGUAGGGAAUCUUCCACAAGGGGCGAAAGCCUGAUGGAGCAACGCCGCGUGGGUGAAGAAGGUCUUCGGAUCGUAAAACCCUGUUGUUAGAGAAGAAAGUGCGUGAGAGUAACUGUUCACGUUUCGACGGUAUCUAAACAGAAAGCCACGGCUAACUACGUGCCAGCAGCCGCGGUAAUACGUAGGUGGCAAGCGUUAUCCGUAUUUAUUGUGCGUAAAGGGUACGCAGGCGGUCUUUUAAGUCUGAUGUGAAAGCCUUCGGCUUAACAGGAGUAGUGAAUUGGAAA